Molecule: non-coding RNA, 1945 nt
Organism: Pelodiscus sinensis (Chinese soft-shelled turtle)
Lineage: Eukaryota; Metazoa; Chordata; Testudines; Trionychidae
Source: RefSeq, a predicted model, not a curated record
GUCCUGCUGUUGUUGAAGUCAGCAAGAGUCUGUGCACUGAUUUCAGGCAUAAUUGACCGUCGCUCAGCAAUUCUCACCUAAAAGGCUUAACGAACUGUAUGCAGAGCACUGUGAUAGUCUUGUUGCUGCAAAGUGUUGUCUAAGGUUGAGAACAUCUCUGACUCCACUCUCUUCAGCAUCCCAGAGCCACAAUCUAAAUGCUCUUAGCCAAAGCAGUCACUUCAAAAUUAGUAAUUUCAAAAUAAUUUCCUAGUGUAGACGUGCCCUGCAAGUGUCUAGCUCAGCUGGAAUGUCAUUUACUGCACUGCAGAGUUGGUGGGAACGAGCCUUUAAAAGGUGGCCAGGUGUUUGCUUCCUCUGUUUUGCCCCCUCCCAUUCUCAUUACGCCUGUCACAGAGGAAACCUCCCAGGGGAGAAGAAGAGAUGAGGCUUCAGCGUGUGAGAUAUAAAACCCUCUCCCAAAAAUGUGUGACCAAUCGCAAGGAUGAGGUCAUAUUGAUAGCUUAUCCCGCAUGCUAGUGAAAUGAUAUCCGUGCACGGAAAAGGCAUGAAUAUUGCACCCGCUGGCCAAAGCCACAUUCUCAGCCAUCCAAGCCUAUGCUUUUCCUUUGUGCUCCCUAAGAUCUGUAACAUACCCACUCCCAUAAUGAACAAGCCUGGAUUUCCUCUUGCUAACACCUGUGCAAAUCAGAAGUAAUUCCUUGGAAAUCCAUGGGAGAGGAGAACACCGUCCAAUGAGUGGGAGUGUGGACCAAGGAGAUGUGACAUCAAGUGGUAUUACUGCUGCUUAAAGUGGCUACAGAAAUGAAAACAGAAAGGGCUGCCCAGAGACUAGUCUGUGCUUUGGUAUGUGCUAUAAACACCCUUGCUGAGCUCACAGACAGGGUCUGCCAGAGGAGACCACCACACCCACAAGUCAAAAUAACAAUCAAGGAAAAACAGGCCCCAGAAAACUCUAGUCCAUUUCUGUAGCUUUUUCACUUGUCUUUGUUUAAUUGCUCAGACUGAAGUGGUUUGGGAAAGGAAUUUUCUCCCAGCAGCCUCUAGGACUCCAUACCUUCACCUGAAGGGAUACACGAUAAGCUGGCCCAAGGGACAAAGAAGAUGUUGCAAGGUGGAACCAUUAAUAAUGAGCCUUUUUGUUUCGCUAAUGUUUGCCCAAAGGAAUUAACCUUACCUCAUAGAAUAGAAUCAUAGAAUUCUAGAACUGGAAGGGACCGUGAGAGGCCUUCAAGUCCAGUCCCCUGCGCUCACGGACCAAACAUCAGCUAGGCCAUGCUUGACAGCCAAAGACCAAACACUCUUUGAGGCUCUCCUUCUGGUUGAUCAGGAGAAAGAAUGCUGUGCCUUUGAUGUCUCUUUGGUAAACACAAUUGCCAGUUGAGGAAAUGGCAGCAGGAGGAAGUUUGAACUUGAACUUGCACGCAAGGUUCCUGCCAGCAACUAACAGAGAUGGCCAACACACAGCCUCAGCUGGGUCCGCUGUCAGCUUGAUACCAGUUCAGCGGAGUGUGUUCCAUCCCACACUUGGGUUUGCCGAUUGGGUUUGAUUUGGAGAAAGGCCCAAAAUGUGGGAGCUUCUCCAGACCUUAUCAAAACCCUCUGUAGUUAGUGGAUCUGUACCAGGCUCCAAAGGAGAUGGAAAGUGGCCAGAAAGUCCACAUGCCAGCCAGCGAGGAAGUGGCACUACCUAUCCAAGAAGAGGCACUGCAGCCAGACCAUGGAGAGGAAGAGGAGCUCCCCCUCCUACCUUACUUUAAACUCUGGCCUGACCUGUAUAAGGGGACUGGAAAUCUCAUGUCAGUGGGCUCUCUUGGGAGACUUUUGGUCCUUUUUGUCUCAGCAAUACAUCAAUAAAGGGUUUCAGCAAAAAGCUGAUGAUUCUACUGGCCUCUGGGCGCUUCUUUAAUGCAGGGAAAUAAUCAUCAUCCAAGUAGGAGGAAUG